CUUGCACACCUCGAUUCGAUUGUUGCGGUUGAGGGGAUUGAAGUCCAGUUUCAGCAACGUUUACUCCCAAAUCGAGUGUUUAACGGAUAGAUCCUCUUCUUGAUGUUGCUUGUUCCUCGGUUUGAAUUGAUUGAAUGGCGAAUGACUGAAAUAUAUUGUCCCAUCACCGCGGAAAAUGAGCUGUCCAUUGUGAGCAUAAUCCAUGGAGAGAAAAUUUGGGCUAUAAGAGCUCAGUGCAAAGCUUCCUGUAAGCAUGGGAAAAAACCAAGGCACAGUUCCACGCGAGGUAGUUCAAUCUUUCAUUUUCGUCUGAUUAGUACUUGCCCUCCAAGUAUUAGAUUUCUUGCAAUUUU
Molecule: long non-coding RNA, 353 nt
Organism: Malus domestica (apple)
Lineage: Eukaryota; Viridiplantae; Streptophyta; Magnoliopsida; Rosales; Rosaceae
Source: RefSeq, a predicted model, not a curated record